AGAGUUUGAUCCUGGCGUCAGGACGAACGCUGGCGGCGUGCCUAAUACAUGCAAGUCGAGCGGACCGGAUUGGGGCUUGCCUUGAUUCGGUCAGCGGCGGACGGGUGAGUAACACGUGGGCAACCUGCCCGCAAGACCGGGAUAACUCCGGGAAACCGGAGCUAAUACCGGAUAACACCGAAGACCGCAUGGUCUUCGGUUGAAAGGCGGCCUUUGGGCUGUCACUUGCGGAUGGGCCCGCGGCGCAUUAGCUAGUUGGUGAGGUAACGGCUCACCAAGGCGACGAUGCGUAGCCGGCCUGAGAGGGUGACCGGCCACACUGGGACUGAGACACGGCCCAGACUCCUACGGGAGGCAGCAGUAGGGAAUCUUCCGCAAUGGGCGAAAGCCUGACGGAGCGACGCCGCGUGAGCGAAGAAGGCCUUCGGGCCGUAAAGCUCUGUUGUGAGGGACGAAGGAGCGCCGUUCGAAGAGGGCGGCGCGGUGACGGUACCUCACGAGAAAGCCCCGGCUAACUACGUG
RNAcentral lists this ribosomal RNA (522 nucleotides) under uncultured Geobacillus sp. RNAcentral describes it as "bacterial SSU rRNA". It matches the Rfam family "Bacterial small subunit ribosomal RNA", at positions 8 to 507 of the family's 1533-position model. Lineage: Bacteria; Bacillati; Bacillota; Bacilli; Caryophanales; Anoxybacillaceae. The record is from RNAcentral.